AUGGCGGCCUUCGUACUCUUCCUCCUUAUACUUGUCCUUGCCGCUGGCAACAGCGAGCACAGACACGUAGGAGCAGUUGCUGCGCGCAGCCCCGUCGUCGUGCGGCUAAUCGGCCGCGGCGCGGACGACAAGACCUCCGUUGCCGUGCACAGACAUGACCUCUCCUUCGCCAGCUUCACCGAUGGCAGCGGCCAUUGGCACGCCUUUCCUGGCCUUGAGCACCUCUUGCCCACGUCCACGACCCUCCCCUUCGGCAGAAGUUACAGCAACCUCAUCGGCGGCCUCGCGAACUUGCCGGGCGUGCCGCUGGGGCGGGAAGCCAUUCGCGUGCUCGCCGCCUACCGCCUCGGGGGCGGCGUGGAGCCGGUCAAGCGGGCGCUGACGGUGAUGAAGGUUGUGAGUAGCGAGGCCCAGCGAUUGGGGCCAUCAAAGUGA
RNAcentral lists this ribosomal RNA (435 nucleotides) under Triticum aestivum (bread wheat). RNAcentral describes it as "partial small subunit ribosomal RNA". Lineage: Eukaryota; Viridiplantae; Streptophyta; Magnoliopsida; Poales; Poaceae. The record is from RNAcentral.